RNAcentral lists this non-coding RNA (115 nucleotides) under Alkalihalophilus pseudofirmus. RNAcentral's name for it is "Bacillus pseudofirmus TPP sequence". It matches the Rfam family "TPP riboswitch aptamer (THI element)". From Rfam's summary of the family: Vitamin B(1) in its active form thiamin pyrophosphate (TPP) is an essential coenzyme that is synthesised by coupling of pyrimidine and thiazole moieties in bacteria. The previously detected thiamin-regulatory element, thi box was extended, resulting in a new, highly conserved RNA secondary structure, the THI element, which is widely distributed in eubacteria and also occurs in some archaea. Analysis of operon structures identified a large number of new candidate thiamin-regulated genes, mostly transporters, in various prokaryotic organisms. Lineage: Bacteria; Bacillati; Bacillota; Bacilli; Caryophanales; Bacillaceae. The record is from RNAcentral. RNAcentral also lists the same sequence under 1 other name.
AGCAUUAACUAGGGGUGUCCAACGAGCUGGGCUGAGAGAAAAACGCGUUGAAGUUUUUUAACCCUUCGGACCUGAUCUGGCUCAUACCAGCGUAGGGAAGUUAGAGACUCCUAAG